UACGUAGGUGGCGAGCGUUGUCCGGAUUUACUGGGCGUAAAGAGCGCGCAGGCGGUCGUACAAGUCGCGUGUGAAAGCCCCCGGCUCAACUGGGGAGGGUCACGCGAUACUGUUCGACUCGAAGGCAGGAGAGGGAAGUGGAAUUCCCGGUGUAGUGGUGAAAUGCGUAGAUAUCGGGAGGAACACCAGUGGCGAAGGCGACUUCCUGGCCUGUUCUUGACGCUGAGGCGCGAAAGCUAGGGUAGCAAACAGG
Molecule: ribosomal RNA, 253 nt
Filed under: uncultured bacterium
Lineage: Bacteria
Description: partial 16S ribosomal RNA
Rfam family: Bacterial small subunit ribosomal RNA
Source: RNAcentral